GCAUCUCACCUGGGUCCUCUGGAGGAAACAUGGCCUGGCAAACACUUUGAUUUCAAAUUUCAGCCUCCGGGAUCAUGAAAGAAUUCUAUUGCUUUAAGCGACCAAGGUUGUAGUCACUGGUUUUCUUGGCCCUUGAAAGGUGCAUUGGAGCCUCUUUCAAAAGCCCACUUGGUUCUUGAUCUCUCACAAGUUCUACACUGUGGAAGCAGCAUUCUCAGCCCAGCAAAUGUCAGCUGCGGUUCAGCCUGGUUGAGUUCAAAUGUUCAGUUUUGCAGGAAGGCAACACCAAGAUCACUGAAACUAAAACCGAAGAGGAAGCAUACCAAGUUAGGUUUCGUGACUUCCUCCCCAAAUACCAAAGAAAAGAGAUCUGGACAAGAUCACCAGAAUAGCAUCUGUAGUCACUGUCAGCUCUGUUCAGUGUCCUUGUCUCUGUGAGUCCUGCUCUGUGUGUCCUGCUUAGGGCCAUGGUUAUCUAAAAAACUGAGGUCACUAAGACAAAGUAGUCACUCAUAAAAUUAAAAGUGAAGCCACCAGUGACAAUGUUCUUAGGCAACAUUGCAUU
This 565-nucleotide long non-coding RNA is filed under the name Cricetulus griseus (Chinese hamster). RNAcentral describes it as "lncRNA (ENSCGRG00015029266.1)". Lineage: Eukaryota; Metazoa; Chordata; Mammalia; Rodentia; Cricetidae. The record is from RNAcentral.